RNAcentral lists this ribosomal RNA (810 nucleotides) under uncultured bacterium. Its description in RNAcentral is "bacterial SSU rRNA". It matches the Rfam family "Bacterial small subunit ribosomal RNA", at positions 44 to 874 of the family's 1533-position model. The record is from RNAcentral.
GUGCUUAACACAUGCAAGUCGAACGAUGAAACCUAGCUUGCUAGGUGGAUUAGUGGCGCACGGGUGAGUAAUAUAUAGAUAACGUGCCUCUUAGUCUGGGAUAGCCAUUGGAAACGAUGAUUAAUACUGGAUACUCCUUCUCUUUAUAAUAAGAGUUGGGAAAGUUUUUCGCUAAGAGAUCGGUCUAUAUCCCAUCAGGUAGUUGGUAGUGUAAGAGACUACCAAGCCUAUGACGGGUAGCGGGUUUGAGAGGAUGAUCCGCCACACUGGUACUGAGACACGGACCAGACUCCUACGGGAGGCAGCAGUGAGGAAUAUUGCACAAUGGAGGAAACUCUGAUGCAGCAACGCCGCGUGGAGGAUGACGCAUUUCGGUGUGUAAACUCCUUUUAUAUGUCAAGAAAAUGACGGUAGCAUAUGAAUAAGCACCGGCUAACUCCGUGCCAGCAGCCGCGGUAAUACGGAGGGUGCAAGCGUUAUUCGGAAUCACUGGGCGUAAAGGACACGUAGGCGGGAAGCCAAGUCUGAUGUGAAAUCCUAUGGCUCAACCAUAGAACUGCAUUGGAAACUGGUUACCUAGAGUAUGGGAGGGGGAGAUGGAAUUAGUGGUGUAGGGGUAAAAUCCGUAGAUAUCACUAGGAAUACCUAAAGCGAAGGCGAUCUCCUGGAACAUUACUGACGCUAAGGUGUGAAAGCGUGGGGAGCAAACGGGAUUAGAUACCCCGGUAGUCCACGCCCUAAACGAUGUUCACUAGUCGUCGGGAUGCUAGUCAUCUCGGUGAUGCACUUAACAGAUUAAGUGAACCGCCU